This 533-nucleotide ribosomal RNA is filed under the name uncultured bacterium. RNAcentral describes it as "bacterial SSU rRNA". It matches the Rfam family "Bacterial small subunit ribosomal RNA", at positions 9 to 531 of the family's 1533-position model. The record is from RNAcentral.
GAGUUUGAUCAUGGCUCAGGAUGAACGCUAGCGGCAGGCUUAACACAUGCAAGUCGAGGGGCAUCAGCCGAUGUAGCAAUACAUUGGUGUUGGCGACCGGCGUAAGGGUGCGUAACGCGUGAGCAACAUGCCCGCAACAGGCGGAUAGACCGUGGAAACGCGGCGUAAACCGCCAUAGGACCAGUAGCAGCAUUGCAACAGGUUGAAAUCUUCGGAGGUUGCGGAUUGGCUCGCGUAACAUUAGCUAGAUGGAGAGGUAACGGCUCACCAUGGCUACGAUGUUUAGGGGAACUGAGAGGUUGACCCCCCACACUGGAACUGAGACACGGUCCAGACUCCUACGGGAGGCAGCAGUGAGGAAUAUUGGACAAUGGAUGGAAAUCUGAUCCAGCCAUGCCGCGUGCAGGAAGAAGGUCCUAUGGAUUGUAAACUGCUUUAGUGCGGGAGCAAUAAGGUCCACGAGUGGACCGAUGAGAGUACCGCAAGAAUAAGCAUCGGCUAACUCCGUGCCAGCAGCCGCGGUAAUACGGGGG